This 213-nucleotide unclassified non-coding RNA is filed under the name soil metagenome. Its description in RNAcentral is "partial contains 5.8S ribosomal RNA, internal transcribed spacer 2, and large subunit ribosomal RNA". The record is from RNAcentral.
AACCAUAGAAACCUGCGGAGUACCUGCGGAAGGAUCAUCAAUGAGAUUAUACCAAUUUGGUUUAAUUUUUUCAAGCCAAGAUGGCCUUCUUUUUGGCUUGCAAACAACACAGAUACCCAAAAAACUUGGAAAAAAACUUUCUAGUGGUUGCCUGAUAUAAAAGUGUUUGGAAAAGAAGAAAUGAGAAAUAAAACAACUUUCAGCAAUGGAUCU